Molecule: ribosomal RNA, 253 nt
Filed under: uncultured bacterium
Lineage: Bacteria
Description: partial 16S ribosomal RNA
Rfam family: Bacterial small subunit ribosomal RNA
Source: RNAcentral
UACGUAGGGGGCGAGCGUUGUCCGGAAUCACUGGGCGUAAAGGGCGCGUAGGCGGCAAUAUAAGUCAGAUGUGAAAGGUGGGGGCUCAACCCCUAGAGUGCAACUGAUACUGUAUAACUUGAGUGUGAGAGAGGGAAGCGGAAUUCCUAGUGUAGCGGUGAAAUGCGUAGAUAUUAGGAGGAACACCAGUGGCGAAGGCGGAUUGCUGGACAGUAACUGACGCUGAGGCGCGAAAGCGUGGGGAGCAAACAGG